RNAcentral lists this ribosomal RNA (468 nucleotides) under uncultured bacterium. RNAcentral describes it as "partial 16S ribosomal RNA". It matches the Rfam family "Bacterial small subunit ribosomal RNA", at positions 28 to 507 of the family's 1533-position model. The record is from RNAcentral.
GACGAACGCUGGCGGCGUGCUUAACACAUGCAAGUCGAACGGAAAGGCCCUGCUUUUGUGGGGUGCUUGAGUGGCGAACGGGUGAGUAACACGUGAGUAACCUUCCCUUGACUUUGGGAUAACUUCAGGAAACUGGGGCUAAUACCGGAUCGGAGCUCCUGCUGCAUGGCGGGGGUUGGAAAGUCUCGGUGGUCGGGGAUGGACUCCCGGCUUAUCAGCUUGUUGGUGGGGUAGUGGCUUACCAAGGCUUUGACGGGUAGCCGGCCUGUGAGGGUGACCGGCCACAUUGGGACUGAGAGACGGCCCAGACUCCUACGGGAGGCAGCAGUGGGGAAUAUUGCACAAUGGGCGGAAGCCUGAUGCAGCAGCGCCGCGUGCGGGAUGACGGCCUUAGGGUUGUAAACCGCUUUCGCCUGUGACGAAGCGUGAGUGACGGUAAUGGGUAAAGAAGCACCGGCUAACUACGUG